ACCUAGGCAAAUUAGUUAAAAUAAUAUUAUUUAAACUAAAUAACCUAAGGAUCAAUCCUUAACCAAGGGAUUUAAGGAUUUGAUCCUUAGCACAGCUGGCAGCUUGAGAUCCCCUUCUCUCUUCUCUCUCUUUUUCCUUCUCGUCACUUCCAAGAUGUGUUCUUGCUCCUGUAAAGCUUCAGACUGUUGAGUUCCCUUGCUUCUGAUCGAGUUCUUUGUUAAUGGUCAUCAUUAAUCAUCAUCAUUGGCAUUUGUUGACACUCCAAGUCUGCGUCUUUGUCCCUCUUUAACAUCUGCUUCUGCACAGUCUCAAGUACCCAUUUCACUACCUUCAUAAAAGUUUUCAUUUUUUUGAUUUAGUGUUUUUGAAGAUUCAUAAAGCUAAAACCUUGUUUGAUCCGAUCCCUUUUUGACGGAUGUGGAGAGACAGCUCUGGAAAAGUGAAAAUUAAACCCAAAAAAGAAGAGUUAGAGAUGCAGGAGGCCUGUGCUAAAAGAGAAUAUCCAACCCAUCAGAUGGCAUCAUCAUGCUAAUAUGAUUAGAUUGAGUGUCUGGUGGGGACUAAGUUUUAAGUGGCGAAGCUGUCAUCAUAGUUCCUAAUGGGGGUGAGGUACUUGCAGUUCUCCGUCGCAUCAACAGCUCUGAGCUUUGCGGGGCUUCAAGUCUGGACAGAGCUGUCUCUGGAUAGACUUAGAGCAGAUGUGAACAACUAGGUACUCUCUGAGAUCUUUCUGUAUUAGAGCAUAACGAAAACAUUGCUUGCUGAGAGGAGACAAGGCGAUGCAGCUUCUUGAGAGUGGCUUGAAAGUGAAGUAACACUGGCUGCUUUGGAUUUGGAUUUUGAGGAGAUUAAUCUUGGAAUCAAGUAAGCGUUGUGAUAAGGUCAUUCUUUGCAUCAAACACUGGUUGAUGAUGGCUCUCUGAUUUUUCGUUAAAGGAUAUUAUUAUGUUGCAUACAGAGUGUGUCAUACUCUGUUAUCAGACACUCUGUGGAGCUGUUACAAUUGGCAACUGAUAUGGAGAAUAUAGGUUGGAUCAUUUAUUUGUGAAUAUAAGGAU
This is a long non-coding RNA of Raphanus sativus (radish), 1059 nucleotides long. RefSeq lists it as uncharacterized. NCBI's taxonomy places the organism in Eukaryota, Viridiplantae, Streptophyta, Magnoliopsida, Brassicales, Brassicaceae. The record is from RefSeq and is a predicted model, not a curated record. The transcript has 3 exons.